Molecule: ribosomal RNA, 460 nt
Filed under: uncultured bacterium
Lineage: Bacteria
Description: partial 16S ribosomal RNA
Rfam family: Bacterial small subunit ribosomal RNA
Source: RNAcentral
CCUACGGGCGGCAGCAGUGAGGAAUAUUUGUCAAUGGACGCAAGUCUGAACCAGCCAUGCCGCGUGCAGGAAGACUGCCCUAUGGGUUGUAAACCUCUUUUGUCAGGGAGCAACGCCGGCUACGUGUAGCCGGACUGAGAGUACCUGAAGACAAAGCAUCGGCUAACUCCGUACCAGCAGCCGCGGUAGUACGGGGGAUGCUAGCGUUAUCCGGAUUUAUUGGGUUUAAGGGGUGCGUAGGCGGAAUGCCAAGCCAGCGGUAACAUCGCGGGGCUCAACCUCGCUCCGCCGUUGAAACUGGCGUUCUUGAGUGGGCGAGAAGUAUGCGGAAUGCGCGGUGUAGCGGUGAAAUGCAUAGAUAUCACGCAGAACUCCGAUUGCGAAGGCAGCAUACCGGCGCCCAACUGACGCUGAAGCACGAAAGCGUGGGUAUCGAACAGGAUUAGAUACCCUUGUAGUC